AAAUGCACGAAACAGAAAGAGACAUAGAGAAAUCAGAACGCAGCUUAAAAGUUCCACCGCUACGAUUCAUUUCUACAUGCGCUCUUCAAACCUUUUCCGUAUAUAAAUUUUCAAACAUACGUAUAAUUGAAAUAAACUGGAUAUUGAAUUACAGAAUGAGGAAUCACGGUAUCGUAGAAUAUGACAUAGCUUACUAAACUUGG
This is a non-coding RNA of Schizosaccharomyces pombe (fission yeast), 203 nucleotides long. The record is from the annotation of a GenBank genome assembly. NCBI's taxonomy places the organism in Eukaryota, Fungi, Ascomycota, Schizosaccharomycetes, Schizosaccharomycetales, Schizosaccharomycetaceae.